Molecule: non-coding RNA, 27 nt
Filed under: Rattus norvegicus (Norway rat)
Lineage: Eukaryota; Metazoa; Chordata; Mammalia; Rodentia; Muridae
Source: RNAcentral
UAAUGACUGUUUGCCUGUCUUUAACCA